AACGAACGCUGGCGGCAUGCCUAACACAUGCAAGUCGAACGAGACCUUCGGGUCUAGUGGCGCACGGGUGCGUAACGCGUGGGAACCUGCUCUUAGGUUCGGAAUAACUCCCCGAAAGGGGUGCUAAUACCGGAUAAUGUCUUCGGACCAAAGAUUUAUCGCCUUUGGAUGGGCCCGCGUUGGAUUAGCUAGUUGGUAGGGUAAAAGCCUACCAAGGCGACGAUCCAUAGCUGGUCUGAGAGGAUGAUCAGCCACACUGGGACUGAGGCACGGCCCAGACUCCUACGGGAGGCAGCAGUGGGGAAUAUUGGACAAUGGGCGAAAGCCUGAUCCAGCAAUGCCGCGUGAGUGAUGAAGGCCUUAGGGUUGUAAAGCUCUUUUACCCGGGAUGAUAAUGACAGUACCGGGAGAAUAAGCUCCGGCUAACUCCGUG
This 433-nucleotide ribosomal RNA is filed under the name uncultured bacterium. RNAcentral describes it as "partial 16S ribosomal RNA". It matches the Rfam family "Bacterial small subunit ribosomal RNA", at positions 29 to 507 of the family's 1533-position model. The record is from RNAcentral.